This 1215-nucleotide long non-coding RNA is filed under the name Bos indicus x Bos taurus (hybrid cattle). RNAcentral describes it as "lncRNA (ENSBIXG00005013868.1)". Lineage: Eukaryota; Metazoa; Chordata; Mammalia; Artiodactyla; Bovidae. The record is from RNAcentral.
UCAUUUUAAAAUAAGUAUAAUUGGUACGCUCUUCAGGGAUUGAACAGGAAAACAUGGUAUUGUUUUGCCACAGAGAGAGAGAGAGAGAGAGAGAGAGAGAGAUUGAUUACUGGAGGAAGGAAAAAAGGAAUGAAGGAAAAAAGGAAGAAGAAAGAGAGAGUAUAAAAACCAUUGCAAGAAAUUACAGAUCAGUGCGGGAAAGACUUGCUGACACUGGUGGCUGGAAGGAUGACAGAGAAGCUUGCCUGAUGGCAGAGCUCAUCUCACUAUGCUCCUUGCAGGUAAGGAUUUAUUCAUUUGCUCAUGCAUUCACUCAUUCAUUCAAUUAGGAAUACUGCAGUCUGUACACAAGAUGUAUGUGUGUGUGUGUAUGUGUGUGUAUUAGUUGCUUAGUCGUGUCCGACUCUUUGCAACCCCACAGAAUGUAGCCCACCAGGCCCCUCUGUCCAUGGGCCUCUCCAGGCAAGAACACUGGAGUGGGUUGCCAUUUCCUUCUCCAAAAGAAACUAUAGAAAGAAAGUGAAGUUGCUCAGUCGUGUCCGACUCUUUGCGACCCCAUGGACUGUAGCCUACCAGGCUCUUCCAUCCAUGGGAUUUUUCAGGCAAGAGUACUGGAGUGGGUUGCCAUUUCCUUCUCCAAAAGGAACUAUAGAAAGAAAGAAAGUAAAGUCGCUCAGUCGUGUCCAACUCUUUGCGAUCCCAUGGACUGUAGCCUACCAGGCUCUUCCAUCCAUGGAAUUUUCCAGGCAAGAGUACUGGAGUGGGGUGCCACUUCCUUCUCCAGGCACACAAGAUAGAACACCUCUAUUUUCAAGUUCACCAGUUAGUGAGCUCCCUAUGUGCUAGGCUUGAGAACAUAGAGGUGAGCCAGAUUUCACAGGUUCAUCCAUCUCUAGGAAUCUUAAGGCAGCAGGCACGUCCUUUCUGAGAAGCCCCCAGUCUGGAUGAGGUUCCCGUCCAUCAUAGGUGCUCCUGAGGUACUUUGCCCUCAAGCGUCACCACACACACUGCAAUGGGAGCUCUGGGCUCUGCUCCCCACAGCUCUGGUCCCAGAGAGCUUAGCAUAACACCUGGCAGCUAGUAGGUGCUCAAUGAAUAAUGGUUGGAAGACUGUAACAGUACUUCUCACAGCACUCUAUGCCAUCCAGUUACUUUUCUUCCUUCUUUCUAGUUUAAUUUUUUAUUAUUUAUGUGUUUUUUUUAAAUUGAAGUGUA